RNAcentral lists this ribosomal RNA (516 nucleotides) under uncultured Stenotrophomonas sp. Its description in RNAcentral is "bacterial SSU rRNA". It matches the Rfam family "Bacterial small subunit ribosomal RNA", at positions 395 to 902 of the family's 1533-position model. Lineage: Bacteria; Pseudomonadati; Pseudomonadota; Gammaproteobacteria; Lysobacterales; Lysobacteraceae. The record is from RNAcentral.
UACCGCGUGGGUGAAGAAGGCCUUCGGGUUGUAAAGCCCUUUUGUUGGGAAAGAAAAGCAGUCGGCUAAUACCCGGUUGUUCUGACGGUACCCAAAGAAUAAGCACCGGCUAACUUCGUGCCAGCAGCCGCGGUAAUACGAAGGGUGCAAGCGUUACUCGGAAUUACUGGGCGUAAAGCGUGCGUAGGUGGUUGUUUAAGUCUGUUGUGAAAGCCCUGGGCUCAACCUGGGAAUUGCAGUGGAUACUGGGCGACUAGAGUGUGGUAGAGGGUAGUGGAAUUCCCGGUGUAGCAGUGAAAUGCGUAGAGAUCGGGAGGAACAUCCAUGGCGAAGGCAGCUACCUGGACCAACACUGACACUGAGGCACGAAAGCGUGGGGAGCAAACAGGAUUAGAUACCCUGGUAGUCCACGCCCUAAACGAUGCGAACUGGAUGUUGGGUGCAAUUUGGCACGCAGUAUCGAAGCUAACGCGUUAAGUUCGCCGCCUGGGGAGUACGGUCGCAAGACUGAAACUC